This 305-nucleotide unclassified non-coding RNA is filed under the name plant metagenome. Its description in RNAcentral is "partial contains 5.8S ribosomal RNA, internal transcribed spacer 2, and large subunit ribosomal RNA". The stretch from base 1 to 105 matches the Rfam family "5.8S ribosomal RNA", at positions 50 to 154 of the family's 154-position model. The record is from RNAcentral.
GAAAUGCGAUAAGUAAUGUGAAUUGCAGAAUUCCGUGAAUCAUCGAAUCUUUGAACGCACAUUGCGCCCCCUGGUAUUCCGGCGGGCAUGCCUGUUCGAGCGUCAUUUCAACCAUCAAGCCCCCGGCUUGUGUUGGGGACCUGCGGCUGCCCGCAGGCCCUGAAAAACAGUGGCGGGCUCGCUGUCACACCGAGCGUAGUAGCAUACAUUCUCGCUCAGGGCGUGCUGCGGGUUCCGGCCGUUAAACGACCUUCAUAACCCAAGGUUGACCUCGGAUCAGGUAGGAAGACCCGCUGAACUUAAGC